Molecule: long non-coding RNA, 2017 nt
Organism: Triticum urartu
Lineage: Eukaryota; Viridiplantae; Streptophyta; Magnoliopsida; Poales; Poaceae
Source: RefSeq, a predicted model, not a curated record
UCUCCUUUUUUGCCGAGCGCUCUCUUUCCCCUUUUUCUCUCCCUCGUACUCUCCUUUCCUCGCCGCCGCCACUCCAUCCUGGCCGCCUCCUCUCCUCGUCGAACCAGCCGCCUCCUCCCCAUCUUCACGCGCAGCCUCCUCUCCCUCAAGCCCCGCCUCCUUCCCACCCUGGCUUCGCCUCUUCGGGGGGCGGGACGCAGUGGCUGUGAUGAUGGCAGAUGGGGCGACAACGGCGGCGCUCCUCCUCUCCCAUGGCGGUCGGCGGCGCUCUGGCCGUGGAGGCCUGCUCCUCAUGCUCCUCUGAUAUGCCUCUUCGCCCCUGCCGAGGACGGCGGUGAGGGGCAAAGGGGCGCUGUCGUUCUCCCCCCUCAGCGUGUGCGUCAGAGACGGACGAGGAAGCCGGGCAGUCCGUCAUGCCGUCGACGCCGUCCUCUCCUACCAAGGUCUGGAUCCUCCUCCCCCUUCCCUCAUGGCGGCGCCUGGAUCCUCCUCCCUCUUCGCUUCCAUGGCGGCACCCGGACCUGCCGCAUCUUCCUCAUCGUCAGUCCGAGGGAGAGGAGUGGCAGCAGCCAGACGCGCCUCGUCCGUGUCGCGUGGUGUCCCAGAUGCGUCCGCCCCGUGCUCUGCCGAUGCCUGUCUCACCCAUCUACGGCCGAAGAAGGAGGGGAGGACUGGAUGCCAACCGAUCUGGAGGAAGAAGCGGACACCCGGACGAAAUCGACGGCGAGAUGCUUGGUGACAUCCCUGGAUAGGCUUCGUGGUGGAGGGCACGGCCUCCGCUGCCGGGUGCAUUAUGAGGCACUCGAGGGGUAGGGUCGCUUGCAGCGCAGGUGCCCGUCGUGUGUCCCAGCGGGGCACUUGAUGCAGCUGCCGCAGGCCGGCAAGUUUGGCUGAUUUCAACACUCAAGGUAAAUUAUCAUAACCAUGGAAUGACACAUACUGAUCUCAGCCUGGAGAAUGUUCAUGUAAGGGCCAGUACACAAGCAUGUCUACUUUGCCAUAUGGAUGGUGGAUUUAGAGGACAAAUUUAUGCACCAGCUUUGAGUUCCAUGACGUUGCGCCGACUAUGUGGAACCCAAUGAUUCAUAGUGAUGUAUUUUCUUCUUCGAGAGAGAGGACUGUGCAAUCAGAAGUACAAUAUGUGAUCAUCAAGUGUAAGAGAUGGCAAGAAUAUGUGGGUACAGAUGCGGCGGCGACAACGUCGACUUCGGUGAGAUGGCUGGUGGACCAAGGACCAAUCCUGCAUUUGCUUUAUAAUAUGAAGUAAUGUCGAUGUGUGAUGUUAACAUCAUGGUUAUCUACAGAUGUAUGGGUACGCUCCGUUUAUGGUCGUCUCUAUAACGUGUGGAGUAUCGAGACCUGUUUACGGAGGUGUGUACACGAUUGGAGGCCACGACGAGGGAUACUUUUAACUGACAUGGAUGACCGCAUGAUCUUCGGAUUGGUCCUCCUACGCUUUAGGCGUUAUACAGACUCUUUGAUUAAGUGUAUUUCGCCUUUUUCUGUUGUUUUUUUUGGAACGUGGACUUGGUUAUGGCUAUGUGCAUCUCAAUUAUGCAGAGGCCGGGUGUAAUGCUUAAGUAUUUUAAGUAAUAAAGCACCUUUUAUCAAAAAAUAGUCAGAUUUGUUUUUGUUUAUCCAUAUACAACAUCAUGUCUGAGUUCAUCAUCUUCUGAUACUGGAAGAGGAUGCACUAUAAGUUAUAAAGCAAGAAAGUAAAACAUGGAUUUCAUUUACUUGAGAGAAGAUCUGGCCAUGAUAUACUGCUACGUGCCAGACUAAAAGUUCAACAAAUGAUCACGAGCUUAGUGUCUGCCGUUUAUGAUGCCUAUUUUGGAGAUACUGUGUCCCGUUUUUGGAAAAAUAUUUUGUUCAACUACAUAAUAAUACAGGAAGUUUUCCCAUUCUUUUUUCCUUUUCCAUUUGGGUAAGGCCUAUAUAUAUAGUGUUACCUUAGUGGCAAAUUUGUAUGGUAUUUUUAUUGCUUCUUUGCUGGAUCACGGAUCACAUUCAGAAU